Molecule: long non-coding RNA, 1217 nt
Organism: Epinephelus fuscoguttatus (brown-marbled grouper)
Lineage: Eukaryota; Metazoa; Chordata; Actinopteri; Perciformes; Serranidae
Exons: 6
Source: RefSeq, a predicted model, not a curated record
AGUACUGAGAGCAAGACAGAGACAGACAAUCAGAGAACCAGGUGGACUGACACACAGACAUCAGCUUAUUAGGUAAAGGACACCUUGAAGUCAAAUCGUGAAAGAAGCUUUAAUUUCUCUUCUGCAAACAGGUGACUGUUACAGGUCAGCUAACAGGUGAGUGUAACAGGUCAGCUAACAAGUGGGUGUUACAGGUCAGCUAACAGGUGAGUGUAACAGGUCAGCUAACAAGUGGGUGUUACAGGUCAGCUAACAGGUGGGUGUUACAGGUCAGCUAACAAGUGAGUGUAACAGGUCAGCUAACAGCUAACAGGUGAGUGUAACAGGUCAGCUAACAGCUAACAGGUGAGUGUAACAGGUCAGCUAACAAGUGGGUGUUACAGGUCAGCUAACAAGUGGGUGUAACAGGUCAGCUAACAGGUGAGUGUUUCAGGUCAGCUUAUGGGUGAGUAUAACAGGUCAACUAACAGGUGGGUGUAACAGGUCAGCUAACAGCUAACAGGUGAGUGUAACAGGUCAGCUAACAGGUGAGUGUAACAGGUCAGCUAACAAGUGGGUGUUACAGGUCAGCUAACAGCUAACAGGUGAGUGUAACAGGUCAGCUAACAGGUGAGUGUUUCAGGUCAGCUUAUGGGUGAGUAUAACAGGUCAACUAACAGGUGGGUGUAACAGGUCAGCUAACAGGUGAGUGUAACAGGUCAGCUAACAGGUGAGUGUUUCAGGUCAGCUUAUGGGUGAGUAUAACAGGUCAACUAACAGGUGGGUGUAACAGGUCAGCUAACAGCUAACAGGUGAGUGUAACAGGUCAGCUAACAGGUGAGUGUUUCAGGUCAGCUUAUGGGUGAGUAUAACAGGUCAACUAACAGGUGGGUGUAACAGGUCAGCUAACAGCUAACAGGUGAGUGUAACAGGUCAGCUAAUGGGUAAGUGUAACAGGUCAUUUAAAAGGUGAGUGUAACAGGUCAGCUAACCGGUCAGUGUAACAGGUGAGUGUAACAUGUCAUUUAACAGGUGAUUGUUACAGGUCAGCUAAAAACUAACAGGUCAGCUAACAACUAACAGGUGAGUGUAGCAGGUCAGUUUAUUAGGAACAGGCUGGCUGUUCUUAAUACAGGUAAACUCACUUUUUAAAUGUGAUGACAAUGACAGCAUCGGCUGACCUCUAACCUUACUGCAGUGAUGUAUAAAUCGUAGAGCUGAGUGUGUUGGUACACUGU